GUGUCACUUUGGCUGCACAUAUACUAAUUGCAAUGAUACAUGGAAAAUUAUCAUGAACCCUGAGUAAGAAUAACACACAAAUUUGUGAAGUGUUCUAUAUUUUA
Spermophilus dauricus (Daurian ground squirrel) is the source of this 104-nucleotide small nuclear RNA. The record is from Ensembl. Lineage: Eukaryota; Metazoa; Chordata; Mammalia; Rodentia; Sciuridae.